GUUUGUAAUAGAAGAAACUUUUGUUUAUUAUAUAAAUAGAAAAAUUAUUUUUAAUUAUAGUUAAUUAGUAAAGUGAUUGAAAUUAAAUAAUAUGUUUAAAAGAAAAAUUUAUUUUUUGUACCUUGUGCAUCAGGGCUGAUUUAUAAGAAUUUAUAUAAUUAUAAUUUUCUCGAAUUUUAAAGAGUUAAUUAAUUAUUUAUUUAAAUGUAAAAUAAUUUUUUAAAAUAAUUAAUUUGAAGUGAAACGCUAUUCGAUUUUUAAGAUAUCUAGUUUUUUAAGAAAAGAAUUUAAUUCUAUUAUUAUUUAUUUAAAUUUUAAUUUUUAAAAUUUAAGUUUUAAUAUUAAAAAUUUAAUGGGAUGAUCUUUUAAUUUUAAAAUUAAAAAUUUUUAGAAUUUAAUUUUUUGUAUAAUUUAAAUUGUUAAUCAUAAAUAAUUUUAUAGUUAGGUAUUUAUAAAUUAAGAUUUAAAUUGUUUUAAUUUUUAUAUUAAAAAGAAAUGUUUAAUUUUUAACUUUUGAAAUAAUGAUUAGAUUAGUAAUAUAUAAUUUUAUUUUAUUAAAUGUUCAUAAGGUUAGAAAAAGGAAUUCGGCAAAAAAUUUUCUGCCUGUUUAUUAAAAACAUGUCCUUUUGAAGAUGAUUUAAGGUCUAAUCUGCUCAAUGAAUUAUUAAAUAGCCGCAGUAUUUUAACUGUGCGAAGGUAGCGUGAUAAUUAGUUUCUUAAUUAGAAACUUGUAUGAAUGAUUUGACAAGAAAAUUUCUGUCUCUUUCUAAUUAUUUAUUAAUUUAACUUUUAGGUUAAAAGGCUUAAAUAUUUAUAAAAGACGAGAAGACCCCAUAGAGUUUAAUUUUUUAUUUUGUUUUAGUAUAAUUUUAAUAUUUAAAAAAAUUAGUUGGGGUAACUUAAAGAUAUAAUAAAUUCUUUAAAUAUAAAAUCAUUGAUUUAUGAAUUUGAAAUCUAAAUUAUUAAAUUUAAAUAAAGUUACCUUGGGGAUAACAGCGUAAUUUCUUUUUAGAGUUCUUAUCAAAUAAGAAGAUUGCGACCUCGAUGUUGGAUUAAAAUAAAGUUUAGGUGUAGAAGCUUAAAUAUUAAGUCUGUUCGACUUUUAAAAUUUUACAUGAUCUGAGUUUAAACCGGUGUAAGCCAGGUUGGUUUCUAUCUUUAUAAAAAUUUAAUGUUUUAGUACGAAAGGACCAAGCAUAAGAUAAAUUAUUUUAAAUUUGAGUAAUAUUGUUACUUUGGCAGACUAGUGCGA
RNAcentral lists this ribosomal RNA (1252 nucleotides) under Photinus corruscus. RNAcentral describes it as "16S ribosomal RNA". The stretch from base 989 to 1147 matches the Rfam family "Archaeal large subunit ribosomal RNA", at positions 2542 to 2701 of the family's 2987-position model. The record is from RNAcentral. Lineage: Eukaryota; Metazoa; Arthropoda; Insecta; Coleoptera; Lampyridae.